UUUUUCUUUUUUUUUGUGUGUUUCUUUUUCUCUCCUCCUUUUUUCUUCUUGUCAUCGCAUCGAUCUAUCGGUUCGCUAUUUCCCUUUCAAUAUAUCAAAUUCGUUAUCGGUAAGCCCCUUAAAUUCUCUAUCAUCAAUCCUUCUGCCGUUUAAUUUCCCCCUUUUGCUCUUUCAAUUUUGACCGUCCUUAAUUUCUAGGGUUUCGUUUCUAAUCCCUUCUGUACCCUCAUAUUUUCGUUUCUAGCCAUCGUAUCUCUCGUUUACUUUGUUAUUCGUUAUCGAAUUGUCGUCGGAUCUUACUUCAUUCGUGUCUAGGGUUUGUGCUUGUGUUCUUCAAAUCUGAGAUUUGGGGAUUCGUUUUCGUAUUGGGUUUAGGGUUCUAUAAAAUACACAAAAAAAUCUUCUGCUGGUAUUGGAGGGGAUUAGGUUUUUUUUCUUAGUUGGAUUUAUAGUUUGUAUAUGGCGGCUGGUAGGCAUGGCGGCUAUCGUGACAACGAGUUUAGGGACCGUGAGUCGAAUUUGGAUGUUUCAAGGCGCGGUUUCGCGAAUUCGAAGGAAGAUUACGACCGGGUUAGGAAUGGAGGCCGUGACGUUGUGAGGGGUGGGAGCAGGGAUGCAAGAGAUAGGAUUAGGGUUAGGCAGAAGGAUAUUAGGGAGAGAGAAGCUUCCAAUGGCGGUCACCGGUCAUCUUCUAGUAGGAGUGAUUCUGGCAGCAGCGGAGGUGGUGGUAGUGAUGGUGGCGGGCUUGGGCCCCGACGGUGUGGCUUUUCUGCCAAGACCAUGGAUAAGGAGCCUGGUGAACUUUCCAGUGAGAGUGGGUCUGAUGGUGCUAUUGAACCAGAGUCAAUGAUGAAAGACAGCGAGGUUGCGAAUGUUGAACAGAAUAGGACUCGAUCCCCGCCCCCACCAGAGAAGAAAAGGAAGUUUUCACCGAUUGUGUGGGAUCAGGAUGACAAGGAAGUGAGCGAGCCAUCUAAAACCAAAUCUAAGGUUUCCACUGCUCCAGUGACUGCUCUUCCACCUCCGCCUCCACUGCCAAAAUCAUUUGUGCGGUCACCUAAUGUUCCAUAUGGUGGAGUUGAGAUACAUCCUGUCAAAAAGAGUGAAACUAAGGAUGUUGAAUUACCGGAAGCUACUAGGGCCACUAUGCCUUCUCCAGGAUCGCAUUCCAUUUCUCCGAAACAGGCUUGGCAUAAUGAUCGUGAAGCUGAGCAACAAGAAGGUGAGGAUUAUGUUCCUAGUCAUAAUAUAUCAUCUUCCAGAUGGGCAGCUGUAGAUAACUCUCCCGGUGAUGAGGGUGAAAUCAUCGAUGAUGAAGAAUUGCCUAGGAGGAAGAGGAGGCUGUCUCCUGAGUUAUUGGAUACAAAACUACGGAACAAACUAUUAAGCCCAGUGGAAUCUAAAAAAGAAGGAUUUGAUGGUGGCAGAGCUAAAUCAUCUGAAUCAGAUGAACGAGGUAGCCAUGGGAGAACGUCCAGUGGGGAUGAUCAUCCUGGAACUGCGUCUGAGAAGGAUGACUACAUGGAGAUUGAUGCUCAAGGUGGAAAAAGUGAUACUAGUAUUAAUCAUUCGGAGACGGAUUCUGAGGACGAGGAUGAUAGGAGGGAGACUCCGGAACCUCCAGCGACACCACAAAGAAUGGUCAACAUGCUUCAGGGUUGUAGAAGUGUUGAUGAGUUUGAGAGACUUAACAAGAUAGAUGAAGGAACUUACGGUGUUGUAUAUAGGGCCAGAGAUAAGAAGACUGGAGAAAUUGUAGCAUUGAAGAAAGUCAAGAUGGAGAAGGAAAGAGAAGGAUUUCCACUGACUUCACUUAGGGAAAUAAACAUUCUUCUUUCUUUCCACCACCCAUCCAUAGUUGAUGUUAAGGAAGUAGUGGUAGGGAGUAGCCUUGAUAGUAUUUUCAUGGUUAUGGAAUACAUGGAGCAUGAUCUUAAAGGUCUGAUGGAAGCAAUGAAGCAACCAUUUAGCCAGAGUGAAGUAAAGUGCUUAAUGAUCCAGCUUUUAGAAGGUGUUAAGUAUCUUCACGAUAAUUGGGUGCUUCAUAGGGAUUUAAAAACUUCUAACCUCCUUUUGAAUAAUAGAGGUGAACUAAAAAUAUGUGAUUUUGGUUUGGCUCGACAGUAUGGGAGUCCAUUGAAACCAUACACACAUCUCGUGGUUACUCUUUGGUACAGGGCACCUGAACUUCUUCUAGGGUCAAAACAAUAUUCAACAGCCAUUGACAUGUGGUCUCUAGGUUGUAUCAUGGCGGAACUUUUGUCCAAAGAACCACUAUUCAAUGGGAAAACAGAAUUUGAUCAGCUUGAUAAGAUUUUUAAGAUUCUUGGCACACCAAACGAAACAAUUUGGCCUGGGUUCUCAAAAUUACCUGGAGUCAAGGUCAAUUUUGUUAAGCACCAGUAUAACCUCCUGCGCAAAAAGUUUCCUGCCACUUCGUUCACUGGUUCCCCAGUCCUUUCUGAUGCUGGAUUUGAUUUGUUGAACAAGCUUCUUACUUAUGACCCUGAAAAGCGGAUCACGGCUGAAGCUGCUCUCAAUCAUGAAUGGUUCCAUGAAGUUCCUCUUCCCAAGAGCAAAGAAUUUAUGCCAACCUUUCCUGCUCAACAUGCUCAAGACAGGCGGAUGCGGAGAGUAUUAAAGAGUCCGGAUCCUUUAGAGGAGCAGCGCCGUAAGGAGUUGCAGCAGGGUGAAUCAGGCACAGGUGGAAUUUUUGGCUAGUAAUCGUGAACUCUAAACUUGUCACAACAGUCAUUCUAACUCACACCACUGAAAUGUUUGCAUGUAUGAGGUGAGAGUAUGAACUGAAAGGAAGUUGCAACCAUUGUUUGUUAGACGAUCACUUGUGCUGUUUUUUAGCAGGGAUUUGUUGGGUUGUGAAGAGAUUUAUUCAUUUUGCCAGAUUAAAUUCAGGUUAACCUUCAUGCUUGGUCAUUAUAUACAAAUGCAUCUGGGAUGCUGCUUUCAGCUUAAGGCGGUUGGUGUGAAGUGGAUGAUGGCUUUCUGUGCAUUUCAUUGAAGAAAUUGACAGUGACUUAGUGCCUUAAAAGGUAAUUCAUUCCUUUGAUAUCUUGGAUAUUAAGGAAUGAGGAUAAUGUUGUGAGAGAUAAUGUCUAGAUUCUAGAGACAAAUGUAGCAUGAUAGCUUAGACUGAUGCUUAAUGCCUGUUAAUUAGUUUUGUAUUUUGAUUAUCAUUUCUUUUUUCUUUUUUCUUUUUAAAGAAAACUUGUAGGGAUGUAGGCAGGGUCAUUAGUUGUGUAAAUUGUUUUCAUAAUACUAGUUCAUUCACAAAUUCUUGUUCUUGUAUAGGAAGUCUUUAAUUGAGAUUUAUUUUUGGAAGCCAUGAUUUGUCAUGGAUUUUUUUAAUAAUAAUUUGUAGACAUGAUCAAUUUCUUGUUCUCAGAGCUCUAGUACUAGCUCUUCCAAGGAAUUACGCUUAUUUUUUCUUUCUCCCAAAAGAAAUAUUUCUGAAGUCAUGAGUACUGCUGGAAGGGUAUUAUGUUGAACUGAAAAUCUGAAAUGAAUUUCCAAGAAUGGUGGAACUUGCUUGUAAAUUAAUGUAGGCCGACGGUAUAACAUUGUUGACUUAGUGUUUUUUUCAUUUUAUGGGCUAUUUGCCGUUGGUUUUUUAUUUGGGCUCUAGAUUGUGAACAGACACACACACACAAAGUGCUGGAUGUCAAAUUCCUCUCUCGCGCUUAAUGUAAUAACUAUUAAUAUUUGAUAUCCGUUGCACCAACAUGUGUAAGCUUUUUUGUGCACUUCAUGAUAUGAAAAAUACGAUUACUAUCUGAUGAUAUUGCCACUUUUUUUUUCCGAAUAAUUUUAUAAUGCCGGGUUUAUUGUGGUCAAAUUGUCAAAAUGAACUAUUUCUAGCUUCCUUGAAUUUGUUGCUUCAUUUAUUUUUAUUUUUCAUUUCCAAUCCAUUUGGUAGUGUAUUUUUGAGUUUUUCUUUCCAAAUUUUAUUUUUAUCGCAGUGUUCUACUAACAUUUUUCUUCUCCAUGACAAGAAAAAAUGUGCUAUCCACUUUUAGCUUUGUUACCAUCAAUAGACUGGUGUCUUUGUAAAACACUAGCCUAAAACCUAUCUCAAAAGCAAAAGAGAAGGAAUUAUAU
RNA transcript from Arachis duranensis, 4116 nucleotides. It is a transcript of the gene named cyclin-dependent kinase G-2, with no coding region annotated. The transcript is spliced from 7 exons. Lineage: Eukaryota; Viridiplantae; Streptophyta; Magnoliopsida; Fabales; Fabaceae. The record is from RefSeq and is a predicted model, not a curated record.